RNAcentral lists this ribosomal RNA (159 nucleotides) under Triticum aestivum (bread wheat). Its description in RNAcentral is "partial small subunit ribosomal RNA". The record is from RNAcentral. Lineage: Eukaryota; Viridiplantae; Streptophyta; Magnoliopsida; Poales; Poaceae.
AUGCUUGUCGGUUGGGCCAUCUGGAAUGAGAGGAACGCUAGAGUUUUUAGGAAGAAAUCAACGCCCCCCUUCUACAUUCUAAAACUAAUCCAAAAUGAAGCCAAACUUUGGGUCACGGCAGGAGCUACGCACCUGAGCAUUAUCAUGCCGCGAGAGUAG